UGGAUGAUGAUGAAGCAAUUACUAAUAAUCCAACACUUGAUCUGAGAUAAUGUAUUCAUUAUCUGCUGAUGCUACUCUUAGCUUCUAAAUCUAC
Cucurbita moschata (crookneck pumpkin) is the source of this 94-nucleotide small nucleolar RNA. RefSeq annotates it as small nucleolar RNA snoR31. The transcript has a single exon. The record is from RefSeq and is a predicted model, not a curated record. NCBI's taxonomy places the organism in Eukaryota, Viridiplantae, Streptophyta, Magnoliopsida, Cucurbitales, Cucurbitaceae.